GUGAAUCAUCGAAUUUUUGAACGCAACUUGCACUCCCUGGUAUUCCGGAGAGUAUGCCUGUUUGAGGGUCAAUUUAAAUACAAAUCGGUGUGGUUGCUGACUUUCGUGGUGACGCCCCGGAUGUGGGUCGUCUUGCCUUCGGCUCAGUCACUCAUAUUUUUGCAUGAUUUUUUCGAACGUAUUUAAAUGAUUUUACGUCAGUUUGCUAUAUCGAAUACUACGUGCGGUACUCC
RNAcentral lists this unclassified non-coding RNA (233 nucleotides) under Glomus sp. RNAcentral's name for it is "partial contains 5.8S ribosomal RNA and internal transcribed spacer 2". The stretch from base 1 to 71 matches the Rfam family "5.8S ribosomal RNA", at positions 84 to 154 of the family's 154-position model. The record is from RNAcentral. Lineage: Eukaryota; Fungi; Glomeromycota; Glomeromycetes; Glomerales; Glomeraceae.